This 874-nucleotide long non-coding RNA is filed under the name Pan paniscus (pygmy chimpanzee). Its description in RNAcentral is "lncRNA (ENSPPAG00000045228.1)". The record is from RNAcentral. Lineage: Eukaryota; Metazoa; Chordata; Mammalia; Primates; Hominidae.
CCACCAUGGCCACAGAGCAGCAGAGCAGGGUUGGAUUUCAUUAGCUGUGACCCACGUGACCAGAGCUGCCCUCUGUCCCUCAGACACAAGUAUUUUAAAAGGAAAGUUUUAUUAUUAAUCAGAGAUGGAGGUAAAUAGAAAACCGGUAUCUGUGUAUUACACAUAGAAAGUCACCAUAAAAAUAAACACAAUGAAUACUCUUCAGCAAAGGGAAUGAAAAAUCUGCAACUACAUACCACUGAACACAAAUGGAAAUCACCAACAACAGGUUGAGGGAGCGAAGCUGAGCCCAGGUUUGGAGGGGCAUUGGAAGGGAAAUGACUUUCUCACUGUGCAAUGCCAGGCUUUGUUCAAGCAUUUGGGGAAACAAUGAGGAGGCAGCUUAUUCCCAGCUCCAGCAACAAGAGACCUUUCCCCUCGCUGGAGCAUGCAGCAUCAAAAGAAAAGAAGAGAGAUUUAGGAGGAGAACAAAGCAAGAUAACACUGACAAGGCUGAGAAGAAGGGCUGGCGUGGCAAUGCUCCUCCACCUGAGCCAGCAGCCCCUGGGACUCAUCCCUCUGCGUCCCUCUGAGGUUGUUGGGUGUUUUUCAAUAUUAAGAUAUGAUUCACACGCCACAUGUUCCAUACUUUUAAAGUAUAUGAUUAAAAAAAACCAAAGUGUACAAUUCAGUGGUUUUUAGUAUAUUUAUAAAGCUGUGCAAUCAUCACCACUAUUUAACCACAAAACAGUUUCAUUACCUCAGAAAGAAACCUCAUACCCAUUAGCCACCAACCCUCCCGCUCCCACUCAACUCCUCCAUACUCUGCUGCCUCCCAGUAAAUUAGAUAACCACAGAUCUACUUUCUAUCCCCCUGGGCUUACCUAUUCUGGGC